GAGUUUGAUCCUGGCUCAGAACGAACGCUGGCGGCGUGGAUUAGGCAUGCAAGUCGAACGAGAAAGAGGGGGCAACCCCUCGAGUAAAGUGGCGAACGGGUGAGUAACGCGUGAAGAACCUGCCCUUAGCAGGGGGAUAACACUCCCAACGGGGUGCUAAUACCGCAUGAGACCACGGGUUCGCAUGGACCUGAGGUCAAAGGUGGCCUCUGCUUGCAAGCUACCGGCUGAGGAUGGCUUCGCGUCCCAUUAGCUAGUUGGCGGUGUGAAAGACCACCAAGGCGACGAUGGGUAGCUGGUCUGAGAGGAUGGUCAGCCACACUGGGACUGAGAUACGGCCCAGACACCUACGGGUGGCAGCAGUCGAGAAUUUUUGACAAUGGGGGAAACCCUGAUCGAGCGACGCCGCGUGGAGGAUGAAGGUCUUCGGGUUGUAAACUCCUGUCAUUUGGGAACAAGGGGCACGUAUUAACUGUGCGUGCGUUGAUAGUACCAGAAGAGGAAGAGACGGCUAACUCUGUGCCAGCAGCCGCGGUAAUACAGAGGUCUCAAGCGUUGUUCGGAUUCAUUGGGCGUAAAGGGUGUGUAGGUGGCGCCGUAAGUCGGGUGUGAAAUUUCGGAGCUUAACUCCGAAACUGCAUUCGAUACUGCGGUGCUUGAGGACUGGAGAGGAGACUGGAAUUUACGGUGUAGCAGUGAAAUGCGUAGAUAUCGUAAGGAAGACCAGUGGCGAAGGCGGGUCUCUGGACAGUUCCUGACACUGAGACACGAAGGCCAGGGGAGCAAACGGGAUUAGAUACCCCGGUAGUCCUGGCAGUAAACGGUGCACGUUUGGUGUGGGAGGAUUCGACCCCUUCUGCGCCGGAGCCAACGCGUUAAACGUGCCGCCUGGGGAGUACGGUCGCAAGAUUAAAACUCAAAGAAAUUGACGGGGGCCCGCACAAGCGGUGGAGCAUGUGGUUCAAUUCGACGCAACGCGAAGAACCUUACCUGGGCUAGAAUGCCUCUGACAACCCUAGAGAUAGGGCCUCUUAGGGAAACCUAGGCAGAGUGCAAGGUGCUGCAUGGCUGUCGUCAGCUCGUGUCGUGAGAUGUUGGGUUAAGUCCCGCAACGAGCGCAACCCUUAUCAAUAGUUGCUAGCGGUUCGGCCGAGCACUCUAUUGAGACUGCCGUUGACAAAACGGAGGAAGGUGGGGAUGACGUCAAGUCCUCAUGGCCUUUAUGUCCAGGGCUACACACGUGCUACAAUGGCCGGUACAAAGCGCUGCCACGGGGCGACCCGGAGCGAAUCGCGAAAGCCGGUCUCAGUUCGGAUACCAGGCUGCAACCCGCCUGGUUGAAGUCGGAGUUGCUAGUAACCGCGUGUCAGCAUAGCGCGGUGAAUAUGUUCCCGGGCCUUGUACACAC
This 1408-nucleotide ribosomal RNA is filed under the name uncultured bacterium. Its description in RNAcentral is "partial 16S ribosomal RNA". It matches the Rfam family "Bacterial small subunit ribosomal RNA". The record is from RNAcentral.